Molecule: long non-coding RNA, 720 nt
Filed under: Olea europaea subsp. europaea
Lineage: Eukaryota; Viridiplantae; Streptophyta; Magnoliopsida; Lamiales; Oleaceae
Source: RNAcentral
GAUGAUCUCAAUAUGUGAAACACAAGUCAAAAAAGGUUUAUACCAAAAAGAAAAUAAUUUGUGUCAAUGCUCACAGACAACAAUAUUAUAUGGCGGCCAUAUAGUAGAUUAUAUGACUAUUUUUCUAUAUCUCGAUAGACGUUACAUCGUCAUUCGUGAUAUUGAUAUGAUUUGAGAAAUUCGCAUAUCAUAGGCUUGACUUGUGCACACUCACGUUGAAAACUUGCAAGCAAAUGAUUUAAUUUUGCUUGAACCAUCUUUGAAGAUUGUUAAACAAGAAGUGCAAUGCCUUGCUAAAGUUUGAUAUGCUGCAAGGCAUGCAAAUUUUGUAAAGCUAUGGGAGGGGAGGAGAUUAAAUUGGGUUGUGAACAGAAAAUGUUGUGGAUAAAAAUCAAGGGGCUGCAACUUCUAAUAAAGAUCAAACCCGAACAAUGCCAAUAGGAGUUGAAAUGGAUAGAGGGGAUGACUUUCAUAGCCCGUGCUUUGGUAGUCAUAGUACAGGAGCCUACAUCAUCAACCAAAGGUUGAAUAGUUUUGGGAACGAACUUGGACCUUUUAUUGAUAAUUCAUAUCUUGAGACUCGUUGGCCAUCUUCUGUUCCAAACAUGGGGAAAAUAAGUAGAUGUUACAUAGCUAAAGCAAGAGCAAUACUCUGAAGGAUAGACAAUUGUAAUGCAAAGGUAUGAUGAGCUUGAAUAUAAAUGCAUAUGUAGUGCAACA